AAUAUCUAUUCCAUAUUUCAGCAGUUUUCUUGAGCUAAUGGAAGAUGCUACAAAAACAUCAACCUCCGAUGAAGAAAGCUACAGUGACUUUGAAGAAGAUGUUAUAAUUCUCCAACAUUUUAAUCAGCAGGAACUAAACGAUAUCAUAAGGGAGCUAAACCUUACAGAAAAGUCUGCAGAGUAACUUGUAUCCAGAUUAACAAAAGAAUCCACCUUCUCCAGGUGCCAAUAUUAAAUUCUUGUAAAAGAGGACUGCCCAAGUAACCACCAGGCUUGAAAGACUUUUAAGUGAUACUUAAUUAUGUCUAACUUCAUU
Aethina tumida (small hive beetle) is the source of this 316-nucleotide long non-coding RNA. RefSeq lists it as uncharacterized. The transcript has 2 exons. The record is from RefSeq and is a predicted model, not a curated record. NCBI's taxonomy places the organism in Eukaryota, Metazoa, Arthropoda, Insecta, Coleoptera, Nitidulidae.